RNAcentral lists this ribosomal RNA (253 nucleotides) under uncultured bacterium. RNAcentral describes it as "partial 16S ribosomal RNA". It matches the Rfam family "Bacterial small subunit ribosomal RNA", at positions 524 to 776 of the family's 1533-position model. The record is from RNAcentral.
UACGAGAGGCCCAAACGUUAUUCGGAAUUACUGGGCUUAAAGAGUUCGUAGGCGGCGCAGCAAGUAGGGUGUGAAAGCCCUCGGCUCAACCGAGGAAUUGCGCUCUAAACUACUGUGCUUGAGGAACCUAGAGGUGAGCAGAACAGAUGGUGGAGCGGUGAAAUGCGUUGAUAUCAUCUGGAAUACCGGAGGCGAAGGCGGCUCACUGGGGGUUUUCUGACGCUGAGGAACGAAAGCCAGGGUAGCGAACGGG